UGAAAGAUUAAAAAUUAAAGGUAAGAUAAUGAAAACGGGUGCAACCACUGAUUUAGGUUGGAAGUCGGGGAGGUAGGAUAUAGACAGAAAUUUAAGGUAUAUCUGUAAGUAAUGAUGAACCAUUACUUACAAAAAACGAUUCUGAGCAAAGUUUAGUUGAUAGUGAUGCUUUGUCAACAAUAUAUAUGUCAUUUUAUAGUAAAAAAAAUAAUUAAAUAGGCUUUAUACAUUUUCAUUAAUAAAAUUUAUUUAAUUUUGUACAGAUUUCCCGGUUUUCCAUGUUUUAUUCCUUUUUUUUCACAUUUGGUGUGAAAACUCUUGAGAAAAUCAAAAAAAUGAUCUCUUAAAAGUACCUCGCUAUUGAAAUUUCAUUUUAAUAAAUAUUGCUACCAUAAAAAGUUAAAGUAAACUUGAUAGUAGAAAAGUUGUUUACAGAAAAAAAGAAGGCCGUAAUAUAGUUUAACAAAUACUUACAUUUCUUAUAUAUUUUCACUUUUUUU
This is a non-coding RNA of Cinara cedri, 500 nucleotides long. The record is from the annotation of a GenBank genome assembly. Lineage: Eukaryota; Metazoa; Arthropoda; Insecta; Hemiptera; Aphididae.